Long non-coding RNA from Oreochromis niloticus (Nile tilapia), 594 nucleotides. RefSeq lists it as uncharacterized. The transcript is spliced from 3 exons. NCBI's taxonomy places the organism in Eukaryota, Metazoa, Chordata, Actinopteri, Cichliformes, Cichlidae. The record is from RefSeq and is a predicted model, not a curated record.
UCUAUGUCAAUGAGGCUAAAAGCUCUUCUGGAGGCAGUUGGCCCACAAGCUUAGUAACACACUUUCAUUUUUCAUAGAUGAGAAGCCAAGAAAUUCCUUAAGAUGCAUCAGUCUGACACCAAGAAAACUCCAACUGUACUGAAUUGGCAGAGAAACCAGUCAGUAAAUCUGAUUACAUAACCGAUUUCAAACGUUGUCAACAGCGUGCUUGAAAGUCUAAAACAAACCUUGAGGCAGUUAAAAGCUUGACAUAACAGACAGUGAAAAGAUGAAGUUUUCCAGCAGUAAAGUGCACAGCAGGUUGAUAGUUGUGCGAAUGGAUUCAAAGCACGGACAAACGCACAGAGAAACCCGUGCACACAUCAGAGAUGGAACAACUGUGAUUACAUCUUCCGUGAUAGCCAUGUGAAGCUGUGUUGCAAUGUUUUGAGAUCAUUCAGGUAACAGAACUGGUAAAUAAAUUGGGAAAACAUCAGAAUAGUCUAGUUUGUUUUUUCUUCAUGUUCUAAUCGCGAUCAAAUGUUCAGGCCUGUGGUUAAAAAAAGAUAGAAACCGAACUGUGGUUUUCAAUAAUUGUUAUUUUAUUACUAUUCA